GCACUCCUACGGAGGCAGCGAGUGGGGAAUAUUGCACAACUGGGCGCAAGCCUGAUGCAGCCAUGCCGCGGUGUAUGAAGAAGGCCUUCGGGUUGUAAAGUACUUUCAGCAGUGAGGAAGGUGGGUAUGUUAAUAGACAUACUUCAUUUGACGUUAGCUGCAGAAGAAGCACCGGCUAACUCCGUGCCAGCAGCCGCGGUAAUACGGAGGGUGCGAGCGUUAAUCGGAAUUACUGGGCGUUAAAGCGCAUGCAGGUGGUUUGUUAAGUCAGAUGUGAAAGCCCGGGGCUCAACCUCGGAAUUGCAUUUGAAACUGGCAAACUAGAGUACUGUAGAGGGGGUAGAAUUUCAGGUGUAGCGGUGAAAUGCGUAGAGAUCUGAAGGAAUACCGGUGGCGAAGGCGGCCCCCUGGACAGAUACUGACACUCCAGAUGCGAAAGCGUCGGGGAGCAAACAGGAUUAGAUACCCUGGUAG
Molecule: ribosomal RNA, 474 nt
Filed under: uncultured bacterium
Lineage: Bacteria
Description: bacterial SSU rRNA
Rfam family: Bacterial small subunit ribosomal RNA
Source: RNAcentral